RNAcentral lists this ribosomal RNA (249 nucleotides) under Klebsiella pneumoniae. RNAcentral's name for it is "partial 16S ribosomal RNA". It matches the Rfam family "Bacterial small subunit ribosomal RNA", at positions 1 to 244 of the family's 1533-position model. The record is from RNAcentral. Lineage: Bacteria; Pseudomonadati; Pseudomonadota; Gammaproteobacteria; Enterobacterales; Enterobacteriaceae.
ACUUAAAUUGAAGAGUUUGAUCAUGGCUCAGAUUGAACGCUGGCGGCAGGCCUAACACAUGCAAGUCGAGCGGUAGCACAGAGAGCUUGCUCUCGGGUGACGAGCGGCGGACGGGUGAGUAAUGUCUGGGAAACUGCCUGAUGGAGGGGGAUAACUACUGGAAACGGUAGCUAAUACCGCAUAAUGUCGCAAGACCAAAGUGGGGGACCUUCGGGCCUCAUGCCAUCAGAUGUGCCCAGAUGGGAUUAG